RNAcentral lists this small RNA (472 nucleotides) under Pan troglodytes (chimpanzee). RNAcentral describes it as "processed transcript". Lineage: Eukaryota; Metazoa; Chordata; Mammalia; Primates; Hominidae. The record is from RNAcentral.
GAGGCAAAGGACUUUGCCCUGAGCCCGUGGAAUCCAAGGACGGUCUCCUCUCUCUACCUGCCUGCCAGCGCUGGGGCUCCUGGGCCCCCAGAUCUGAUUACCUUCACGGAAGGAAGCGGACGCUCACCACGCUAUGCCCUCUGGUUCUGUGUGGGGGAAUCAUGGCCCCAGGACCAGCCGUGGACCAAGAGGCUCGUGAUGGUCAAGGUUGUGCCCACGUGCCUCAGGGCCUUGGUAGAAAUGGCCCGGGUAGGGGGUGCCUCCUCCCUGGAGAACACUGUGGACCUGCACAUUUCCAACAGCCACCCACUCUCCCUCACCUCCGACCAGUACAAGGCCUACCUGCAGGACUUGGUGGAGAGCAUGGAUUUCCAGGGCCCUGGGGAGACCUGAGCCCUCGUUUCUCAUGGUGUGCCUCCAACCCCCCUGUUCCCCACCACCUCAACCAAUAAACUGGUUCCUGCUAUGAUCA